GUAUAACCUCCCCGUUCGCAGAAAAAAAGCGCUAACCUCCCUGUAGCCACCUCCACACAAAUGUACCGUAGAAAAAGGAAACACACUACUAUUUCGUUUUUCUAUACACAUCGUCUCUCCCUCCCCAAUUCCUCCAUGGCCACUGGGUUGUCGCCGCCACAUCUGAUUCCGGAUAGCUCCGGUGACCGCUGCUCGCCGGCCCAGCGCGCUCUCGGUGCUCACCUCCCAUCUUCCACCGUGUCCAUGUCCUUCAUGCCCCUGGACGAGCCCCCGCAGCAACCCUAGGCACCACGGGUCGCCGUAGCGGAUCCAGCGCCUCCUCUGUUUUUAGUCUCACUACCCCAUGUAUCCUCACGCGCUGUUACCAGCUCGGGCACGAAGGUGCUGCUCCACCUCGGCUACCUCUACUCUGAUCCGACACCGACGAUUCAUUAUUAUGAGGAUAAAGGAGCCGGAAACGACAUCAGUGAUAUUUGCUUCAGGAAAGAUGGCAUGCACAGAAGGAAAGAGUGAAGAACACUCUCAAGCUUACUGUCAGGAAGGUAAAACCGAAUGGUCAUAUUAUUGUUUUUGUUAAAUAUGCUUAGGAACA
This 592-nucleotide ribosomal RNA is filed under the name Triticum aestivum (bread wheat). RNAcentral's name for it is "partial small subunit ribosomal RNA". Lineage: Eukaryota; Viridiplantae; Streptophyta; Magnoliopsida; Poales; Poaceae. The record is from RNAcentral.